CCCAUGGAACCAAGCAGGUGAAGAAAAAUGAACAAAAAAAAAAAAGAAAGGGAAAAACGAACAAAAGGAUAAACAAGGUCAGCGUGGUUGGUCUCUUUGGCGACAGGAUGAACUUCAAACGAGCCGGACUGUGCCACUUCUUCGAGCAUGAACAGGAAGAAGUCGAGUGGCCGUAUGGAUCUCGUCGAACUGGCCAAAUUUUCGAGCAGACUUUAGGAAAACGAUCGACUCUUUUAUGGCUCGUGAAUGCCGCAAGACGUUUCAAGGAGACCGUUUCAACCAUUUGCUUUGCGAUUCGAAAUUUCUCAUUUCCUUCGUUCCAGAGAAUUGUUUGAGAGAAAAGCACGUUAAACGCCACCGCCUUUCAUUCACUUUCGUGCGGACCUGAACGCCACCUACUUCCGCUCCACGCCGCAACGAUCAUCGCGUGCACCGAUAAUUAUCGGCUUUUAGCCGGGCUCCUAGUUUCUCUAAAAAACCCGAGCAGCCACCCCUCAUUUUCCCAGGCCACGUUUCGAUCUCUAUUGUCGUCGUUGGACGUCGGUUUUCGAGAAUUGCGAAGUUUUGGGAGGAUUGUAAAGAUUGGAUCGAUCGAAGAGGAUGCACACGAGUCAAGGAAAUAUGAUUUAAGAGUUAUAUCGUAGGAUAAAAUAUUUAGAAAUGCUAUAAAUGUUAAUUAUUAAUGUUAUAUUUAUGUUUCUUUGUUAAGAAAAGAAACAAAUAAAUAAAGGUAUACAAUAAAA
Apis cerana (Asiatic honeybee) is the source of this 743-nucleotide long non-coding RNA. RefSeq lists it as uncharacterized. The record is from RefSeq and is a predicted model, not a curated record. NCBI's taxonomy places the organism in Eukaryota, Metazoa, Arthropoda, Insecta, Hymenoptera, Apidae.